Molecule: ribosomal RNA, 497 nt
Filed under: uncultured bacterium
Lineage: Bacteria
Description: partial 16S ribosomal RNA
Rfam family: Bacterial small subunit ribosomal RNA
Source: RNAcentral
GAUGAACGCUGGCGGCGUGCCUAAUACAUGCAAGUCGAGCGAACGGACGAGAAGCUUGCUUCUCUGAUGUUAGCGGCGGACGGGUGAGUAACACGUGGAUAACCUACCUAUAAGACUGGGAUAACUUCGGGAAACCGGAGCUAAUACCGGAUAAUAUUUUGAACCGCAUGGUUCAAAAGUGAAAGACGGUCUUGCUGUCACUUAUAGAUGGAUCCGCGCUGCAUUAGCUAGUUGGUAAGGUAACGGCUUACCAAGGCAACGAUGCAUAGCCGACCUGAGAGGGUGAUCAGCCACACUGGAACUGAGACACGGUCCAGACUCCUACGGGAGGCAGCAGUAGGGAAUCUUCCGCAAUGGGCGAAAGCCUGACGGAGCAACGCCGCGUGAGUGAUGAAGGUCUUCGGAUCGUAAAGCUCUGUUAUUAGGGAAGAACAUAUGUGUAAGUAACUGUGCACAUCUUGACGGUACCUAAUCAGAAAGCCACGGCUAACUACGUG